ACAAGAGAUACAUGUUCUGAAUCCAAUUGAUAACUACAUAUAUUUUUGUUCAUUUAACGUUCAGGAUACAAUAUACAAUCAGACAGUCUCAGAACUUUAAACUUCAAAAUUACAAAACUUUAUCACAGGCCCCAGUGUGAAGAAAAUUAAAUACAUCUUGCUGAUUGUUUUUUUUUUUUUUUUUUUUUUAGAUUGUUAUUUUUCUAAACUGUUUUAAUAGCAAAAAUUGGAUAAAAUUGUCAUACGUUGUUUCCUCACUGUGAAUAAUCAAGCAGUAUAUUGCAUGAGCUUCUUGUGCUUGAAGUCCAACUGAAAUUUCCAAGCAGCUUGUUAUUCCAGCUCUGAGAGAAAGAGGUCACUGUUGAUUUACUUUAGAGUGUUAAUGCUGCGUCUUCAACGCAUUAUGUCCUUCACCACUCACAACUUACCUAAUUCUACUCAUAGUUUUAAAGAAUUUGCAUCUUUAAUGUUGUUAAAAGCAGGAAGAUGCAUCAUAUGUGCCUGUAUCCUGAAUCCAAACAUCUGUCUGAAGCCCUGCUGAACUGUUUGUGUGUGUGCGUGUUUGGGGAAGGGGUGGUUCUGCCUUUUUCAAGUGUGAUGUACAAUAUGGCCAGUGUUGUCAGAGUGUUGUUGGGAUGUUCUUUUGGGUCGCCCACCCAAGCCCACCUAACACUUAUCUGCCAUUGGAGUUAAUUAUGUAUUUCUGUGAAUGGCGGUGCGGAUGUAAUGCUGCGUCUGCAUGUCGGCACACCGCGGUGGCAGCCUGUCAUCACAGCGUUCCCCUCAAUCCCUCUUUUUUUCCCGAUCCCAACACUGUGAAUUUGACUGGAAACAGGAGCAGGAGGAUUAUGAACGGCUGUAAUUAGUUGGUUCAGGACAGGAGGAAUGAGGAGAACUCGAGAAGUGAAUGUGUGCCCCAGACUUGAAGUGCUGCCAGCACAGCAGGACACCGCACAGCCACAGACAGGAAGAACAAAUUUGAAUUGGGUGUGAACGGCCAAAUCUGAUAAGUCAAUACAAACGUUAUUUUGGUUUUCAGAAUCAGCAAAUAGAUUGACAGACUCACAGUGUUUUCUGUCUAUUAUCUGGAGCAUUCAAACACAAUCUAGGAUAAAUAGACUCUGGAUUACUUUAGAGCCUACAGUCACUUUCAAGCUCUUGUUUGUCAGUUUGUACCUCAGGACAGGGUGCACUAUUAUCCUCUAUAAAUCACAAAUGUCAUCUUGCUAGUAUCAAAGAUUUUUCAGAAGACAACCAAACAGAUCCUUGAAGAUCAGGAAAAAAAAUCUUCAUUUAAGAAUUCAGCGACUAGUGCUAACUGAGGGACAAGCAUCAUUUUUAUUUUAUAGAUGAAAUUCUCCAUAGAGCUGGUGAUCCAGCCAGAUGUCUAGUGAUGCGUGUCCCGAUUCCAGCGGUUCCACAUGGAAGUUUCUGGGAAAAGGCCCAUCGGCUCGAUUUAAUUGCUGUUGGUGACACAACAAAGAGCCCGUCUAAUGACUACAAACAUUCAUGUGCCCAAUGCCGCCGGAUUAUAAUUGAACGGGGAAAAAGAUCAAUAUCAUUCAAUGAAAACUAAUUGUGUCGGAGAGAGGAAUGUUAGUUUACACGUUACAUCUGUGUGCCACAGUGCUGGCCGGCUCCAUGUCUUCAGCUCCAUUUUUUAGUGAAACUGAGCGUGACAAAAUGGAUGCAUAAAACACACUCCUCUUCUAUUAUUUAAGAAUGGAAACAGCGUGGAACAAUGAGAACGACGGUGGGGCUGUGGAGCGUACGGAGGAAGCCAACAGAGAUAGAAAAUAGAAGUUGGAGUCUGAAAUCAUCAGCGUUUCCUUUCACUGGUUUGUUCCAGCAUGACUGCAGAAAAUAUUAUAUGUGUACUGGAACUGAUCGAUCAUUGUUUGCAUUUUCAACAUUUCCUUGGUUAUAGGGUUGAUUCCUACAUUUAUUUUUCUGGUCAUUUGGUCAUGUUUAUUGACUGUGGAAUUGGAGAGAACCUGGAUGCAAACUCAUCAGGGUUUCGAGAAAAAAAAAAAUUAAAUAUUGAUUUUAGCAUGAUGAUAUAGGGGAAAACCUAUUCAAAACUAUAUAUACAGUAGCUUUUUAAUUUCACUUGUUUCAGGCCACUUUCAAACUUUAUUAUGGAACCUAUAGUCAAUAUACAUGACUACUACUAAUAAUAUAAUAUAUUUAUUCAUUUUAUCUCAUUUCUUUGCUUUCAAAUGUUAAACCAUAAGGCUUUUAUUUUGAAAACCACAGGGAGACAAUAAAGUCGCCAUGAAACAGUUUUUUUCCCCCUAUAGGUUGUUUGCAAUCACAUGGUUCUGGUGACGCACGAAAUUGAUGUAGAGGGCAAGCAGUGAAAAUUAGAAUGGAAGAGAUGGAGAAAAGUCCAUACUAUGCUGGUUUAGAAAGGUAUAAACAGAAAAUUACAACAUAUUUUGGACGUAAACCUUAUGAAGAGGAGUGAUUUUUCUAUUGAAUUGAAAGACUUGACUGCCAUCGAGGAGGUAGAUAUAGAGAAUGUGAAGCUGCCAUCACACCAUGUUCAGUUCUAGUCUGGUUUGUUUAUAUCGCGCUGUCUUUCUGAUAGUGAAGUUAGGGCAGUAUUUUGUCAUGAUUGUGAAACAUUUUUGCCAUUGUAGGUCAUUUACGCAGAAUGGAGAAUUACAACAGGGGCUCACAUCAUCGUUCAGGGAAAAAACUGGACGGUGUAAUACAAUUUUCGCCUUUUCUACGUCUAAAAACACACUAAGGGAAGCAGGUUGAGGAGGUGACGGGGAGACGCCGUAUAGCAAAUCUAAUAAUGUAACUGAUUGAACCCACUCCCUAUCACUCAAUAAAAUAAUCACAAAGCUGAGUGUUUUGAAAGUGUUGUAUGUUGUUUGGUUUAAAAAUUAACAUUACAUUUGCGAGUAUGACUCUUACUCAGCUUGUGAAUGAGCAUAAAGCUCUGGAUACACUGCACGAUUUUAGCAAUCCUAUAAGAUCGUUACUUUAUCACACUGUGCGACAUGGAUCUACUAAACUUGGGUACGACAUGCAUGUAGACUAUACGAUGAUGACACCUAUUGACUCGUAGGCUACGAUGCAAGUUUUUAUAAAAGAAUAAAACGUCAUCAGCAUGCGCUACUGGUAAACAAAACACUAUGUUCAAUCAAACUUUGGCAGUUGUAGUUUUUAUGUGUGCUGAAAAUAAAAAGGAAGCGGCGAAAGAAGAAGGGAAAAGAGCUUGAGGUAAGCAGUUUUAAGUUUUAGCGCCAUGUCGCUUUGAUUUCAUGUCUCAUCUUUAUUGGCUGGUCAGUAGACGUAGGUCGUAGCAGCAAACACACUGUGCGUUGAUCAAGCUGAAUUUCUGACACUGUCAGAAAGCUAUCUUUGGUCGCAAGACCGGGAAAACGGCCGUCUUUGAACCUCUCUCAUUGUACGACAUAGGACCACAGAUUAAGAGCCACGAUCACAGAAAUCGCCACGAUUGUUUCACGAUGGAAAUCUUACGUCUGGGACAGCCAAAAAUUGUGCAGUGUAUCCCGGGCUUUACUUGCACGCAGCCACUUCAAAACUGUUCAUAAGCUUCUACGGGUUUGAUUUUGGUUGCUAUGUAAUCUGUCCACUGAAUGCCCCUCUGAUUCUCCUCCGUGGUGAAUAUUUACAAAGAAAACAUUAAAACUACAGUUAACACUGCUAUUGGUUGAUCUCAUGUGAGUGACAGGUUGUCCCUCCCUUGCGCCAGUAAACACCAUCAGAAGAGAUGUCGCACGAGAUUUAUAAACAAUUCUCAUUAAAGUUACAAGAGACCCAAACUUAGAGCAAAUACAGAGGUUGAGUUUGUGUGGAGCAGAAUAUUGGAAAUCAUGGAAAGAAAAGGGACACGACACAGGAUGUUCUCUAAACGUUCUGAAACAAGUAGAAACAUAAUAAAUAAAUAAAUAAAACAGACGAGCAUCCAACUAAAAUGUUUCAGAAAAAAAAAGUUUUACAAUUUACAAAUAUCAUUUUUGUGCUAAUGUUUUGAGAACAUUAUUAAAGACCAAAUAACUUUGAACGAAUGUUCUAGCAAUGUUACUAGAAGAAUGUUUGUUCAUAACUUUGAGAGAACCUUGCCAAAAUGUUAGCCAAAGUUCUGAGAAUGUUAGCUGUGUUAUGGUUAGUCCUGAACCAGGAACAUGUUCUACUUCAUAAAAUCACGUUGUACUCAACACCAGUGAAAUUAACCAAUGGUUAGACCACACCUCCAACACAUUCAUUACCAUAAACAAUAAUAAACAUUCUUACCAUAAUCAGUAUCAGUUUAUGAACUGAUUUAUUCAUUUAAAACAUGAAUUGAGAGGCAACAAUGCUGUUUUAUGUGCUGUGUGUUAAAAAUGCCCUGCACACCUUGAAUGACACAUUUGACUCAGUUUGUUUGUUUGUUUGAUUAUAUGUUCAAACGUACAGACUGCACAAGUUAAGCUCACUAAUCUGAUUUGUAAAAGCAUCUGUGGCUUUUUGAGGGACAAGCUGCCAGAGCAUCACACAAACAAUGAGAGGAACAGGGCUCUCUCUGCAAUAUUUGAUUCUGACUGGUCUGUUGCUGCAGUUUGGGGCGAAUGUUUUUUGUAUAAUGAUGCUAAAAUAAAUAAAUGACAUUCUCUCAAUAAAAUAUAAGCAGGAUCAUGCACAGCCAGUGGAUCAUUAAUCUAUAAUCUAUAAGGAAACAAAUUUGCAGAAAGAAAUUAAUUUGUCUUCAAUACUUUAAGCAUAAAUGCUCUGAAGGCACACUGCACAUGACAGAGCUGAGACCAUUCGCUAAAUUAUUUUGCCCUAAGAGAGUUAUUAAAUGAUUUGUUUGCUUCUCUCACUGUUCUGUGUGGUGAUAAUUUUCAUAUGUGAAUGUACUGUAUUCUGGCGUGAGAGGUGUGCUGUUACUUUUCUAAGUGAUAAAUGUUGCAGCUAAAAAAAAUAAAUAAAAAAUCCUAUAGACUUACAUUGAAGGAGUACAUUAUGUAGAUGUCACAGAUUCAACCAGCAUGCCAUCAGCACCAGGUCCUUCAGAUCCACCCACUUGUUCACAAUCACCAGAAUACUAACCUGCCACACCUGUCACUCCCUCAUUAGACACCAUUCAUAAGCACACAGCUCACACUCACUCAUUGUCCAGUCUCGUCAGUCUCUACAUGAGAGUGAAUCUAUCUGACUACUCACAUGUGUUUCCCUGCCUUCCUCAUCCUCCUCAAGCUACUGGUUCAUCAGACUGUAUCUCAUCUGUCUGUUCAUCUUCUAUCCUGCAAAGAAAAAGACUGGUCAGUUGAGUGUGACUGUUCAUUGAACUGCUUGUGCUUUUCACUUACCUGUUUGACAAUCCAAAAGAUCGGAACCUAUCUGUAAAUAAAAACCUGUUCAGUUCAUCUCUGUGUCUCACUUCCUGUUUUAUGACAGUAAAGACCAAGGGCCUUGUUAUAAGUGCAUACACUAAAAUCCACGCCAAUGUUCAUAUUUAUAAAAACGGUCUUUGACAUGGAAAAGUGCUUAGUGCCACGUCAGGGUCUGAGCAGACGUACACACUUUUCUUUGUGGCAGAGAGUCGGAGUUCUGCAGCUAUUUGGAAAUCUAAACAAUCCUUGCUGCUCACUAUUCUCAAGUAAAGCAUUUGGACGUUGACUGGUGCUCUGUUAUAUGUUAAUGACAUUAAUUAGGUGUUUAAUCAGUAUCAAAUUUAGGAUGGUUUCUAUGCAACGUUUUUAAAUGAGGCCCCAGAAGACCACAGAGACAUGAGGGUGCAGAGGUGUUUAAGUUAGUUCGUCACAGAAUCCUCUCAACACAGCUCAAGAUGCCGGAGUUUCUUUCAGUUCAAGCCAAGUGAAUCCCCUAGUGUUUCACAUUGAAACUAAAACACUAGAAACAUAACACUGUAUUUAUUUUUAUUAUUAUUGUGCUGAGACAACACAAUGUUGGGUUUCACUUUAUUUUGAUGGUCCCUUCAACACAUUCUGUUGUCUAUAAGUAAUGUUGCACCUACAUGUCUAAUAACUCUCAUUAGAGUGCUGGUAGUGUAUUAGUGAUCUGGUAGGGUCAGGGUUAGAAUAAGUUGACAUGUAGUUGCAAGGUUACCUGGUCAACAGAAUGUUCAAUAGGGACCAUCAAAAUAAAGUGUUACCCAAUAUUGUUGUCACAAUCACCAGUAAAACGUUCACACUGCGAGCUUUAAUGCUCAAUUCCGAUUUUGGCUCAGAUCAGAUUUUUUUAUUAUUAUUUAUUUAUUUUGUAUAGUUGUUCACAUUGUUGUUUUAAAUGUGGCCCAUAUCAGAUUUCCAGUGUGAAAAGAUCAUGGUUCUGAACUGACAAAAUCCACUUAAUUGCUUCUCAAAACUAGUCCAAAACUAGCCCAAUCGCGUUCCGUGGGGUAUCCCGGUAAAAAUCGCAUUCUGGGGGUUAAGUAUUGUGUUAGUGUUGCAAAACAACCCAUCGCAACAGAAAAGUAACUAAAUUCUGCUGUAAAAUCACAGACUUGGCAACACACACAGCACGCUGUCAUACGGAAGUAAACACGGAGGGCAUUAAAGUAAGCAAUUAUGAAUUUAUUUAUAGUGUGAUCUGCCUCUUUGCUAAGUCUUGCUUGUGUUAGAACUGCAUCUCUGAGCCUUUGUAUCAUGAUUCUCCCAUGUCUUUUUGUUUUUAGAUUCUUUGCCUGUUUUCUGAAUUUCUCUGUUUUGCCUGUUUCCUGGAUCUUAUCAUUGUUUGGAGUGUUUACCUGCGUGUUGACUUUUGCCUGUUUUUUGAUUAUGUUUGUGGAUUACCCUUACAAUAAAUACUGCGUUUGGAUCUUCA
This is a long non-coding RNA of Ctenopharyngodon idella (grass carp), 6804 nucleotides long. RefSeq lists it as uncharacterized. NCBI's taxonomy places the organism in Eukaryota, Metazoa, Chordata, Actinopteri, Cypriniformes, Xenocyprididae. The transcript is spliced from 2 exons. The record is from RefSeq and is a predicted model, not a curated record.